GACGAACGCUGGCGGCGUGCUUAACACAUGCAAGUCGAGCGGUAAGGCCCUUCGGGGUACACGAGCGGCGAACGGGUGAGUAACACGUGGGUGAUCUGCCCUGCACUUCGGGAUAAGCCUGGGAAACUGGGUCUAAUACCGGAUACGACCUCGGGCUGCAUGGCCUGGGGUGGAAAGGUUUACUGGUGCAGGAUGGGCCCGCGGCCUAUCAGCUUGUUGGUGGGGUAAUGGCCUACCAAGGCGACGACGGGUAGCCGACCUGAGAGGGUGACCGGCCACACUGGGACUGAGACACGGCCCAGACACCUACGGGAGGCAG
This 319-nucleotide ribosomal RNA is filed under the name uncultured Actinomycetes bacterium. RNAcentral's name for it is "bacterial SSU rRNA". It matches the Rfam family "Bacterial small subunit ribosomal RNA", at positions 28 to 351 of the family's 1533-position model. The record is from RNAcentral. Lineage: Bacteria; Bacillati; Actinomycetota; Actinomycetes.